Potamilus streckersoni is the source of this 82-nucleotide non-coding RNA. Lineage: Eukaryota; Metazoa; Mollusca; Bivalvia; Unionida; Unionidae. The record is from the annotation of a GenBank genome assembly.
GCUUUGGUGGCUCAGUGGUUAGCGUGCUAGAUUGAAGAUCGAAAGGGUGUGGGUUCAAAUCCUACCAUUGUGUCCUAGGGUA